RNAcentral lists this unclassified non-coding RNA (198 nucleotides) under plant metagenome. Its description in RNAcentral is "partial contains small subunit ribosomal RNA and internal transcribed spacer 1". The stretch from base 1 to 47 matches the Rfam family "Eukaryotic small subunit ribosomal RNA", at positions 1786 to 1831 of the family's 1831-position model. The record is from RNAcentral.
AAGUCGUAACAAGGUUUCCGUAGGUGAACCUGCCGGAAGGAUCAUUACCUAGAGUUUGUAGACUUCGGUCUGCUACCUCUUACCCAUGUCUUUUGAGUACCAUUCGUUUCCUACGGCGGGUUCCGCCCCGCCGAUUGGGACAACAUUCAAAACCCUUUGCAGUUGCAAUCAGCGUCUGAAAAAACAUAAUAGUUACAA